AUCGCUUCUCGGCACUAUGUGCUAAGAUCAAAGUGUAGUAUCUGUUCUUAUCAGCUUAAUAUCUGAUACGCCCCGCAUGCGGGGCCAGUAUAUUAAACUGAUUUUUGGAAUUUGAUUGAGGUUGGGGCUUGCUCCACCUUGGUCGCGGGUUGGCCUGGUAUAGCAGUUCCAUCAGGAUUAGCCCACAUGAU
Molecule: non-coding RNA, 191 nt
Organism: Dendroctonus ponderosae (mountain pine beetle)
Lineage: Eukaryota; Metazoa; Arthropoda; Insecta; Coleoptera; Curculionidae
Source: Rfam